Molecule: transfer RNA, 59 nt
Filed under: Cavia porcellus (domestic guinea pig)
Lineage: Eukaryota; Metazoa; Chordata; Mammalia; Rodentia; Caviidae
Source: Rfam by way of RNAcentral
GGGGAUUUAGCUCAGCGGCAUAAGCGCCUGCCUUGUAAGCAGGCAAUCGCCAGUCGCCA